This 73-nucleotide transfer RNA is filed under the name Deltaproteobacteria bacterium. RNAcentral describes it as "tRNA-Trp". It matches the Rfam family "tRNA". Rfam says of the family: Transfer RNA (tRNA) molecules are approximately 80 nucleotides in length. Their secondary structure includes four short double-helical elements and three loops (D, anti-codon, and T loops). Further hydrogen bonds mediate the characteristic L-shaped molecular structure. tRNAs have two regions of fundamental functional importance: the anti-codon, which is responsible for specific mRNA codon recognition, and the 3' end, to which the tRNAs corresponding amino acid is attached (by aminoacyl-tRNA synthetases). tRNAs cope with the degeneracy of the genetic code in two manners: having more than one tRNA (with a specific anti-codon) for a particular amino acid; and 'wobble' base-pairing, i.e. permitting non-standard base-pairing at the 3rd anti-codon position. Lineage: Bacteria; Pseudomonadati; Myxococcota; Myxococcia. RNAcentral also lists the same sequence under 1 other name. The record is from RNAcentral.
AGGGCAGUAGCUCGAAUGGUAGAGCAGCGGUCUCCAAAACCGCGGGUUGGGGGUUCGAAUCCCUCCUGCCCUG